RNAcentral lists this ribosomal RNA (253 nucleotides) under uncultured bacterium. RNAcentral's name for it is "partial 16S ribosomal RNA". It matches the Rfam family "Bacterial small subunit ribosomal RNA", at positions 524 to 776 of the family's 1533-position model. The record is from RNAcentral.
UACGGGGGGGGCAAGCGUUGUUCGGAAUUACUGGGCGUAAAGGGCUCGUAGGCGGCCAACUAAGUCAUACGUGAAAUCCCUCGGCUUAACCGGGGAACUGCGUCUGAUACUGGAUGGCUUGAGUUCGGGAGAGGGAUGCGGAAUUCCAGGUGUAGCGGUGAAAUGCGUAGAUAUCUGGAGGAACACCGGUGGCGAAGGCAGCCCCCUGGGAUGGCACUGACGCUCAUGCACGAAAGCGUGGGGAGCAAACAGG